GUAUAUUAACUGCCCUUGUGGAAGAAGGUGAGAGCUGAGCUUGGAAGGAAGUUUGCUGAUUCAGAGCUGGAGCCCGGAGUGCCCGGGGUGUCCUGAGGCUGUACGUUUAGGAUGUCUCUAUGGCUGUUGAUUUGAAACCGUGCAAGACGUUCUGGUAGCCAACAAAGGAAAGAGUCUUCAGUGUACUGGAAGGCGACUGACUGGCAAGGGAAUCUAGGUAGCAAAAUGUUAGCUUUGCCUAGAUUCCUCCACUAACAGCACUUUCUGGAAGGGACGGCUUCAUCUCUGUCUCCAACACAGCUUUCCUACAGGAUCCUUUCAGGGCUGCAUGCCUCACUGCUAUGAGCGACCUUAAUUGGAAAGGAAAACAAAAAACCGCUGCGGAAUUCCAUUACUAAAGCUUUUCAUCCCAACGGACAAGAAGCCGUCGCGGAUCUAGACUCAGGCUGUGGCCCGCGGCGUUACCUUUGGCUGGCCUCGAAGCACGCGGGCCGGGUUGCUCCGAGGCUGGGCCUGGCUGACUCUGCCCGAGCGACGGGACGGCAGCGGGCGGCCCGCCGCCCAGUGGCCCGCACACCGGUCCGCAGAGACCUCAGCCCGGGAGAGACGCCGGAGCCGGGUGCCCGGGCGGGACUGCACCAACGUUCGCGCAGCUGCUCCAGAUGCAGACGCGGGGGAGAAAGCUUACGAAGAUGGGGUCCACUCGCUCUCCGAAGCCGGGGAGGAAGGAUCAAUCCCGCGGGUGCUGGGCUUGAGCAGGUCUUACGGAGCUGGUAGCCACUGCCUCGCCCACAGUCUCUGGAGUUACAUCCCAAGGCAAACGGGCCUUCGGCCACUCAAGCCUAAAGCACCGAAGCCACUGCGAGCACCCCGCCUCAACACUUGUCACCCGAGGUCCGCGGCCCUGAUCCCUAGACCCGCCGGGCCGUGAGCGCUGGCGGCUGUCGGAGUCCCGGGCCGCCCCUCCUCUCCGUGGGCCUCUGGGUCGCCCGCACCGCGCCGGCCGCAUC
This is a long non-coding RNA of Bos taurus (domestic cattle), 1010 nucleotides long. The record is from Ensembl. NCBI's taxonomy places the organism in Eukaryota, Metazoa, Chordata, Mammalia, Artiodactyla, Bovidae.